RNAcentral lists this ribosomal RNA (705 nucleotides) under Triticum aestivum (bread wheat). Its description in RNAcentral is "partial small subunit ribosomal RNA". The record is from RNAcentral. Lineage: Eukaryota; Viridiplantae; Streptophyta; Magnoliopsida; Poales; Poaceae.
AUGCAUAAAUUAUUUAUCAUCAUUGCUUUUUUUAGAAUCAUUAUUUAUCAUUGCUAUGAUGUUUAUAUUAAGGGGCCUCAAAUUUUACGUUCGCCGGGCCCUCAAAAUCUCAGGACCGGCACUGUGUGCUUCGUCGCUGGAUGGCACCGCUGCCGAUUCUGGCCGCCACGGGUCACUCUGCUCCCCAAAUCUGUCCCCAUUUCUGUCGUUCGUCGUGCCACAUCCCCGCACCGCACGAAUCCGGCCGCCACCAUCGGCUUCCGCCCAUCGUCGCCGGAUCCAUCAUCCCCGCCACUAGAUAUGUCCAUUUCGGUCGUGGGGCGUCCGUUUCGUCCAUUGCCGCCAUCGGCGCUUGUUUCGUCCGCCGCAGUCGAGCUUAGCUUCUCCACCAGUCAUUUUGUUUGUCGCCACCGGGCUUCUCCGCUGCCUCCCGUCGAAGAUGUUGUCGCACUAGCCAUCGCGAGCGCCAUGCCGUACCGUGGUGUUCGUCAUCGGCGUCGGGCCACUUCGCCGCCGAGAUCACCUGAGUGGCUCAGCACCUUUGAGACCGAGGAGCUCGCGGUGCUCGCGUAUGAUGCAGUGGCAGUUCGAUACGAUCGGAGCUUGGCCGAGCUCAAUUUCCCCGAGGUGGCUGGCCAUACAGAUUCCUCACCCCUUCCAUGGUCUAGUGCGGAGAAGGCACGUAGAGUCGAGGCCACUUAUUAG